AAAACGACUCUCGGCAACGGAUAUCUCGGCUCUCGCAUCGAUGAAGAACGUAGCGAAAUGCGAUACUUGGUGUGAAUUGCAGAAUCCCGUGAACCAUCGAGUCUUUGAACGCAAGUUGCGCCCGAAGCCUUUAGGCCGAGGGCACGCCUGUCUGGGCGUCACG
RNAcentral lists this ribosomal RNA (163 nucleotides) under Pyrus neoserrulata. RNAcentral's name for it is "Pyrus serrulata 5.8S ribosomal RNA". It matches the Rfam family "5.8S ribosomal RNA". Rfam says of the family: 5.8S ribosomal RNA (5.8S rRNA) is a component of the large subunit of the eukaryotic ribosome. It is transcribed by RNA polymerase I as part of the 45S precursor that also contains 18S and 28S rRNA. Lineage: Eukaryota; Viridiplantae; Streptophyta; Magnoliopsida; Rosales; Rosaceae. The record is from RNAcentral.